GACGAACGCUGGCGGCGUGCCUAAUACAUGCAAGUAGAACGCUGAAGAGAGGAGCUUGCUCUUCUUGGGUGAGUUGCGAACGGGUGAGUAACGCGUAGGUAACCUGCCUUGUAGCGGGGGAUAACUAUUGGAAACGAUAGCUAAUACCGCAUAACAAUGGAUGACACAUGUCAUUUAUUUGAAAGGGGCAAUUGCUCCACUACAAGAUGGACCUGCGUUGUAUUAGCUAGUAGGUGAGGUAAUGGCUCACCUAGGCGACGAUACAUAGCCGACCUGAGAGGGUGAUCGGCCACACUGGGACUGAGACACGGCCCAGACUCCUACGGGAGGCAGCAGUAGGGAAUCUUCGGCAAUGGGGGCAACCCUGACCGAGCAACGCCGCGGGAGUGAAGAAGGGUUUCGGAUCGUAAAGCUCUGUUGUAAGUCAAGAACGGGUGUGAGAGUGGAAAGUUCACACUGUGACGGUAGCUGACCAGAAAGGGACGGCUAACUACGUG
This 497-nucleotide ribosomal RNA is filed under the name uncultured bacterium. Its description in RNAcentral is "partial 16S ribosomal RNA". It matches the Rfam family "Bacterial small subunit ribosomal RNA", at positions 28 to 507 of the family's 1533-position model. The record is from RNAcentral.